UGGUUAGGUACCGCCAACGAGCGCAACCCUUGCCAUUAGUUGCUACGAAAGGGCACUCUAAUGGGACUGCCGGUGACAAACCGGAGGAAGGUGGGGAUGACGUCAAGUCCUCAUGGCCCUUAUAGGUGGGGCUACACACGUCAUACAAUGGCCGGUACAGAGGGUAGCCAACCCGCGAGGGGGAGCUAAUCCCACAAAGCCGAUCGUAGUCCGGAUCGCAGUCUGCAACUCGACUGCGUGAAGUCGGAAUCGCUAGUAAUCGUGGAUCAGCAUGUCACGGUGAAUACGUUCCCGGGUCUU
This 300-nucleotide ribosomal RNA is filed under the name uncultured Allobrachymonas sp. RNAcentral describes it as "bacterial SSU rRNA". It matches the Rfam family "Bacterial small subunit ribosomal RNA", at positions 1077 to 1382 of the family's 1533-position model. Lineage: Bacteria; Pseudomonadati; Pseudomonadota; Betaproteobacteria; Burkholderiales; Comamonadaceae. The record is from RNAcentral.